GGGGAAAGCGGCUCAGCAGAGGCAGAGGCUGGAGGCUCAAUCGGGGGAGUCCCUGGGGACAUCAGAGCUGCUGGAGGCACAUGAUGACCGCACAGCCCCAGAAACACGGCCAGGGCAAGAGACAGGCAGGACCAGCAUGCCAGGAACGCUGCCAGCGUGGGCACCACCGCCUGCCCUUUCCUGGGCACAGGCAGCCCACGCUGCGGGCAGAGCUGCCCCUGUUCCCACUGCCCAGCUGUGCUGAGGGGGCUGGCCCCGGGGCAGGCUGCAGUGCUGCACAUCGCUCCUUGCUGAAAGCACAGUGGACCUUUCCCAGGGGUGUGCGUGGGGCCAGGGCACUGCCCAGCAGGGCCAGCAGCAGGGCAGAGGCUCUGCAAAGGCACAGGGUGGCAGGAGGGUUCCUGCGGCACCUCCCCUGGCUCAGUGUCCCUGUGGCUGUUCCCACACUUGGCUGGAGCUCUGGGCUAGCCGGAGCCCUGGCUGAUAUGGAGAUAACCCUGUGCUGGCCAAGGCUGCUCCCAAACCUCAUUCCUGACUGACAGGUGCCACAAGUUUUGGGCACCAUGGGGCUCUUCACCCCACUCCUUCCUACCAAGAACUGGGGGCAGCAGACAGAGGAGCCCAGUACAUUGCAUGAAGUGGUUUCUGCCUCAGUUCCCAGCUGGGUGCACCCUGCCGGGGGGGCUGGUGCCGGAUGCAGGGGCUCAUGCCAGAGAUGCUCCAUCUGCUUCUUGUCAGGCUGCUGGGAGCGCCGUGGUGCCGGGGCCCGGCAGUGGGAAGCAGUUGUGAUAGAUGUUCUGUUUAUCACGUUUCAGCUCUGCUCAGGA
This is a long non-coding RNA of Apus apus (common swift), 827 nucleotides long. RefSeq lists it as uncharacterized. The record is from RefSeq and is a predicted model, not a curated record. The transcript is spliced from 2 exons. Lineage: Eukaryota; Metazoa; Chordata; Aves; Apodiformes; Apodidae.